This 325-nucleotide long non-coding RNA is filed under the name Cyanistes caeruleus (blue tit). Its description in RNAcentral is "lncRNA (ENSCCEG00000015448.1)". Lineage: Eukaryota; Metazoa; Chordata; Aves; Passeriformes; Paridae. The record is from RNAcentral.
AGCAUGAGGUUAUCAGCACAGGAGAACUGAGAUACUUUGGUGAAAGUUACUGGAUAUGGCCCACAUUUCCUGGUGAAAUACCUUCUGCGGCUUGUGUGUCUGGAGCAAGGCAAAGACCAGGGAGAGGAUCAAAAAGGAGGUUGUGAUACAGGAGAAACUUGUAUAUUUGAUUUAAAAAGUCAGCUGUUCUCCUGAAGAAGGACUGCAGCCUUAUGCAAGAGGGCAUCAUGCAUACUGGUCCAUCCAGAGAGUAGCCAGCCAAAGUGCCAUAGGUUUCAAGCACCUUCUGAGAGUCCUGAAAGCUACCUUAGUAAUUUACUGAUGA